This is a long non-coding RNA of Equus asinus (donkey), 3157 nucleotides long. The record is from Ensembl. NCBI's taxonomy places the organism in Eukaryota, Metazoa, Chordata, Mammalia, Perissodactyla, Equidae.
CAGGAAGUGAGCCCAGAGAGAGAAGACGCAAGUCGCGGAAACUAAGAGAAGAAACGCUCCAGGGAGGAGGGAACGCUCAGUUGUGGCAAAUACUGCCGAGAGGUGUGGACUUACUUCCACGGCCCUCUGCCUGCUCAUCACUGCUGGCUCCUGUUACUGCCCAAGCUGAUGCACACGGAGACCGGAAAGAGACCCCCUGAGCGUGCAAGCAUGUGUGUACAGUUCCAGACCCGCCCUGCUCCUGAGUGAUGGAUUUAUCUGGUUUUAGGACAGGUUGACCCCAGAGGUCUGAGCAGUUUUACGUUAGUUUCACUGAUUUGAGUCACUUUAGGUCAGUUUAAGCACAUUUGCAUCUACGGUAGUCCCCCCUUCUCGGAUGUUUUCCAUGUUUUAGUUGCCUACAGUCAACCGAGGUCAGAGGUCAAUAGUAGCCACGUCAUUCGCCUCCCUUCAUCUCAUCACGGAGGCGCUUUAUCAUCUCGCAGCAUCGCAAGAAGAAGGGUGAGUGCAGUACAAUAAGGUAUUUUGAGAGAGAAAGAGACGGCAUUCAUAUACCUUUUAUUACAGUAUAUGGUUAUAAUUGUUCUACUUUAUUAUAGUUAUUGUUGUUAAUCCCUUACUGUGCCUACUUUAUAAAUUAAACUUUAUCACAGGUACGAAUAUAUAGGAGGAAACAUAGCAUAUAUAGGGUUUGGUACCAAGCGCGGUUUCAGGUGUCCCCUGGGGGUCCUGGAACAUAUCCCGCGCAGGUGAGGGGGGACUGCUGUCCUUCACUAUUCCGAGUUCAUUUGUUCUGUUUUGAUUUGGGGUAGUUUAAUAAUAGCAGACACUUAUCUUGUCCUUGUGAUAUGUCAGCACUGCCGAGUCCAGAUGCUUUAAAUAGUGUCAGGAACCCUCACAACUAACCUGCAGGUAGGAACUGUUAUGAGCGUCCUCGUGUUACACAUGGAGAAACUGAGGCACAGAGAGCUUAAGAAACUUGCCCCACAUUUCGCGGUUACUGAGAGGGGGAGCCGGGAUUUGAACCUGCUCCUUCUGGCCCCUGAGUCUGUGCUCCGAACCUCCAGAUGAAGCCGUACCACCGCAGACAAGGGUUUGAACCACUUCGAGAUAAAGCGAUUUUGUCUGAGCCGGUUUGUUCUGCUCUUGCCAACACGAGUUGCUUGGUGCUGGCUCCAUCUGCAUAGAGCCUUGCAUUCCGCACAGUCCAAUGGACACAGAGCUCAGGCCACUUCCAUCCUUGACAUGGAAGACCACUGUGUCAGUCUCCUAGGGCUGCGCUAACAAAGUGCCACAAACUUGGCUGCUUAACACAUUCUCACAGUUCUGGAGCUGGAAGCUCGAACGCAAGGCGUCAGCAGGGCCGUGCUCUGUGGGGAGAAUCCAUGUCUUGCCUCCUCCAGCUUCUGGUGGCUCCAGGUGUUCCUGGGCUUGUGGCCACAUUGCUCCAAUCUCUGCAUCCACGGUCACAUUCCUCCUCCUCCUCUGUCUGUGUCCCCUGUGUGUCUCUUAUAAGGACACUUGCCAGUGGAUUUAGGGCCCACCCAGAUAUCCAGGAUGAUCUCAUCUCAAGAGCCUUAACUUAAUUAUCUCUGCAAGGAUGUUUUUUCCAAAUAAGGCAACGUUCCCAGGUUCCUGGGGUUAGGACAUGGACAUAUAUCUUUUUUGGAGCCUCCAUGUGACCCAUUACAACCACGAAGGUCACAUCACAGGAUGUUCCCUUGAGGACCCGGCUCUUAAAAGUGCCUCUUCCUACUGGGUUGGUAUUCACCCAACUUUUGGGGUCUGAUCACUUUCUGCUCAGGGAUUGGAAGGUGAAAGGAGAAAACGCGCUUGCAGCCUUGGAAGAGCCUCUUGUACUUUUCAGGACUAUUUAUUAACACUGCGGGCUGGGAAGAUCAGGACUUCCCGGAAACGUCAAGGGAGGUGUGGAAUGUUACUGCAAACAGGCACUCGAAGAUAGUACCAGCUUUCUAAGAUGUUUGCUGGUGGUAACACCAAGCUCACUGUGCCUGGGAGAGCUUUCUUUAGGGAAAGUGAUGCUGAAUUGAAGAGGGGCAGAUAACUCAGAGAUGAAGGGGAGCCGUUCACCCCAAGUAUCCCUGGGCCUGGGGUUGAAAGAAGCUGGCAAUUCAGAUAGAGAUAGAGAUAGAGAAAUAGACUGAGCAAGUAGACUUCGCAAAGAAACCGCACUCAGAGGUCCUUUGUGCUCAAAUGGCCCCCAAAUGCCAAUGAUGCAGAAAUAUUACCAAAAAGGGAAAGCUGUGUUUCCAUUUUUUGCACUCCCUACUUGCACCGACAACUGACAACCGACGACUAAGGGUGAGAGACAACUCAGUCCUUGGACAGUUGUGGCCUCUGCAGGGGCUUGGGCUCCAGGUCCUGCUCUGCCCCUAACAGCUGUGAGACCUCAGGCAAGCCAGAAAGUCUUUCAGAGUCUUGACUUUCCCAUCUGUAAAUUGCGAUAAUUGGAUUACCGGGGAAACAGCCCAUGUUUGGCACAUGCUGUGUCUGGCAGGGAACACACUAUCAGACAGAUUUGCAGGCCAGGGUCAUUACAGAUUUAUGGUCAGCAACCUCAACUGGGCACCCGCACUGCCGGAAAUCCCACUGUUUCUCUAUCGGGCUGGCUUGUGAUAACUGUGUCACCUCUAAUCCUUGGUCCUCCUUCCCUUCCUCUUUUCCCCUCUCACGUAGGCUGUAACUUGCUCCCACCCCACUGGGAAAAUAGAAGCGGCCAGAGGAGGCAACCUCGCCUUUUCAGGGCUGACGCUACAAACCUGUCUCUUCUCUCUGUCUCGCAGACGAUUGUCCCUGCUUCUGUCAAAGGCCAGGUCUGGCUUCCUGUGCUCCGAAUUCCCUCCCCUCUUACUUUCUCAAGGACUUUUGCCUGGGUAAUCCCCUCUCUCUGGGUCAUCAGUUCCUCCCCUCCUACGGGUCACUGCCAUCAGCACAGAGACACGGUUCUGUAGCUUCCCUAUUUGGACGAAACCCUCCCUGGCCGCUCUCUUCCCUUCCAGCCACUGCCCCAUUUCUCUGCUUCCAUUUGCACCAACACUUUCUAAAAAGUCGCCUGUGAUGUUCUCUCCAGUUCGUUGGCUCCUGUUAACUGUUCCGCCCAUUCCAAUCCAGCUUCCAUCCUCACUCUUCCAUUAAG